Long non-coding RNA from Perca fluviatilis (European perch), 144 nucleotides. RefSeq lists it as uncharacterized. NCBI's taxonomy places the organism in Eukaryota, Metazoa, Chordata, Actinopteri, Perciformes, Percidae. The transcript is spliced from 3 exons. The record is from RefSeq and is a predicted model, not a curated record.
CCGGGGCUCCAGAGAUGCGCUCACAGAAAAGAAGACAACAAAGCAGUCCGCCGUCUUCACAACUCUGAGACAAACUGUAGCAGACGCUACGAACCGGAGCAAGGACUAACCUCGCCUCAUAACGAGGCCGUGACCUAUAUUUGC